UCCUGGUUAGCUCAGUUGGUAGAUUAGUCCACUGGUAAUGGAGAGCUCCCCGGUUCGAUGCCAGGACCAGGGG
This 73-nucleotide transfer RNA is filed under the name Ixodes scapularis (black-legged tick). RNAcentral describes it as "tRNA-Thr for anticodon GGU". It matches the Rfam family "tRNA". From Rfam's summary of the family: Transfer RNA (tRNA) molecules are approximately 80 nucleotides in length. Their secondary structure includes four short double-helical elements and three loops (D, anti-codon, and T loops). Further hydrogen bonds mediate the characteristic L-shaped molecular structure. tRNAs have two regions of fundamental functional importance: the anti-codon, which is responsible for specific mRNA codon recognition, and the 3' end, to which the tRNAs corresponding amino acid is attached (by aminoacyl-tRNA synthetases). tRNAs cope with the degeneracy of the genetic code in two manners: having more than one tRNA (with a specific anti-codon) for a particular amino acid; and 'wobble' base-pairing, i.e. permitting non-standard base-pairing at the 3rd anti-codon position. Lineage: Eukaryota; Metazoa; Arthropoda; Arachnida; Ixodida; Ixodidae. The record is from RNAcentral.